UACAGAGGUGGCAAGCGUUGUUCGGAAUUACUGGGCGUAAAGGGCGCGUAGGCGGCCUUCUAAGUCAGACGUGAAAUCCCCCGGCUUAACCUGGGAACUGCGUCUGAUACUGGAAGGCUUGGGUGCGGGAGAGGGAUGUGGAAUUCCAGGUGUAGCGGUGAAAUGCGUAGAUAUCUGGAGGAACACCGGUGGCGAAGGCGGCAUCCUGGACCGACACUGACGCUGAGGCGCGAAAGCUAGGGUAGCAAACGGG
RNAcentral lists this ribosomal RNA (253 nucleotides) under uncultured bacterium. Its description in RNAcentral is "partial 16S ribosomal RNA". It matches the Rfam family "Bacterial small subunit ribosomal RNA", at positions 524 to 776 of the family's 1533-position model. The record is from RNAcentral.